RNAcentral lists this unclassified non-coding RNA (378 nucleotides) under plant metagenome. RNAcentral's name for it is "partial contains 5.8S ribosomal RNA, internal transcribed spacer 2, and large subunit ribosomal RNA". The stretch from base 1 to 105 matches the Rfam family "5.8S ribosomal RNA", at positions 50 to 154 of the family's 154-position model. The record is from RNAcentral.
GAAAUGCGAUAAGUAAUGUGAAUUGCAGAAUUCAGUGAAUCAUCGAAUCUUUGAACGCACCUUGCGCUCCUUGGUAUUCCUUGGAGCAUGCCUGUUUGAGUAUCAUGAAAUCUUCAAAGUAAAUCUUUUGUUAACUCAAUUGGUUUCUACUUUGGUAUUGGAGGUCUUUGCAGCUUCACACCUGCUCCUCUUUGUUCAUUAGCUGGAUCUCAGUGUUAUGCUUGGUUCCACUCGGCGUGAUAAGUUAUCUAUCGCUGAGGACACUGUAAAAUGUGGCCAAGGUAAAUUCAGAUGAACCGCUUCUAAUAGUCCAUUGACUUGGACAAUACUUUUAUGAUCUGAUCUCAAAUCAGGUAGGACUACCCGCUGAACUUAAGC